CGGACGGGUGAGUAACGCGUGGAAAACCUGCCGUAUACUGGGGGAUAACACUUAGAAAUAGGUGCUAAUACCGCAUAAGCGCACAGCUUCGCAUGAAGCAGUGUGAAAAACUCCGGUGGUAUACGAUGGUUCCGCGUCUGAUUAGCUAGUUGGUGAGGUAAAAGCCCACCAAGGCGACGAUCAGUAGCCGGCCUGAGAGGGUGAACGGCCACAUUGGGACUGAGACACGGCCCAGACUCCUACGGGAGGCAGCAG
Molecule: ribosomal RNA, 255 nt
Filed under: uncultured bacterium
Lineage: Bacteria
Description: partial 16S ribosomal RNA
Rfam family: Bacterial small subunit ribosomal RNA
Source: RNAcentral